CCUGCCGAUGACUCGGGGAUAGCCUUUCGAAAGAAAGAUUAAUACCCGAUGGCAUAGUUCUUCCGCAUGGUGGAACUAUUAAAGAAUUUCGGUCAUCGAUGGGGAUGCGUUCCAUUAGGUUGUUGGCGGGGUAACGGCCCACCAAGCCUUCGAUGGAUAGGGGUUCUGAGAGGAAGGUCCCCCACAUUGGAACUGAGACACGGUCCAAACUCCUACGGGAGGCAGCAGUGAGGAAUAUUGGUCAAUGGACGAGAGUCUGAACCAGCCAAGUAGCGUGAAGGAUGACUGCCCUAUGGGUUGUAAACUUCUUUUAUACGGGAAUAAAGUGAGGCACGCGUGCCUUUUUGUAUGUACCGUAUGAAUAAGGAUCGGCUAACUCCGUGCCAGCAGCCGCGGUAAUACGGAGGAUCCGAGCGUUAUCCGGAUUUAUUGGGUUUAAAGGGAGCGUAGGCGGACGCUUAAGUCAGUUGUGAAAGUUUGCGGCUCAACCGUAAAAUUGCAGUUGAUACUGGGUGUCUUGAGUACAGUAGAGGCAGGCGGAAUUCGUGGUGUAGCGGUGAAAUGCUUAGAUAUCACGAAGAACUCCGAUUGCGAAGGCAGCCUGCUGGACUGUAACUGACGCUGAUGCUCGAAAGUGUGGGUAUCAAACAGGAUUAGAUACCCUGGUAGUCCACACAGUAAACGAUGAAUACUCGCUGUUUGCGAUAUACAGUAAGCGGCCAAGCGAAAGCGUUAAGUAUUCCACCUGGGGAGUAC
This 756-nucleotide ribosomal RNA is filed under the name uncultured bacterium. RNAcentral describes it as "bacterial SSU rRNA". It matches the Rfam family "Bacterial small subunit ribosomal RNA", at positions 125 to 883 of the family's 1533-position model. The record is from RNAcentral.